This is a non-coding RNA of Chiloscyllium plagiosum (whitespotted bambooshark), 231 nucleotides long. NCBI's taxonomy places the organism in Eukaryota, Metazoa, Chordata, Chondrichthyes, Orectolobiformes, Hemiscylliidae. The record is from RefSeq and is a predicted model, not a curated record.
UUCUGUAGGGAUCACAUCUUCUCCUUCGAUCUGGGUCGAAGUCCCCAGGAAAUCCUGAAUCCUCGGAACAAGGUGCAGUGGAGGACCAAGGGUAGCGAUAUGCAGAAUUGCGCCAUGCGAGGGAAGCAUCGGGACGAGUGUCACAACUUCAUUCGUGUCCUGGUGCCUCGCAGCGACCGGAUGCUGUUUGCUUGUGGGACCAACGCUUUUAACCCCGUCUGUCGGAACUAC